GACAGAGGGUGCAAACGUUGUUCGGAAUUACUGGGCGUAAAGCGCGUGUAGGCGGCAUGGCAAGUCGGGUGUGAAAGCCCACGGCUCAACCGUGGAAGUGCACUCGAAACUGCUGAGCUGGAGUCCUGGAGAGGAAGGUGGAAUGCUCGGUGUAGAGGUGAAAUUCGUAGAUAUCGAGCGGAACACCGGUGGCGAAGGCGGCCUUCUGGACAGUGACUGACGCUGAGACGCGAAAGCGUGGGGAGCAAAC
This 250-nucleotide ribosomal RNA is filed under the name uncultured bacterium. Its description in RNAcentral is "partial 16S ribosomal RNA". It matches the Rfam family "Bacterial small subunit ribosomal RNA", at positions 524 to 773 of the family's 1533-position model. The record is from RNAcentral.